Molecule: small nucleolar RNA, 130 nt
Filed under: Gouania willdenowi (blunt-snouted clingfish)
Lineage: Eukaryota; Metazoa; Chordata; Actinopteri; Blenniiformes; Gobiesocidae
Description: Small nucleolar RNA SNORA63 (ENSGWIG00000008152.1)
Rfam family: Small nucleolar RNA SNORA63
About the family: E3 belongs to the H/ACA class of snoRNAs and is involved in the processing of eukaryotic pre-rRNA and has regions of complementarity to 18S rRNA.
Source: Rfam by way of RNAcentral
GUGCAGGAUAAGUUACAAUGCAGCUUGUGCAGUACUGUGUUGUCGUUCCCCCUGCAAAUAUGAACUUGUUUCCUCGCUAUCCCUGACUGUCCCAUCUCUUGGACUGUCAGGGACGUAAGGAUUCAGACAU